RNAcentral lists this long non-coding RNA (558 nucleotides) under Brassica napus (rape). RNAcentral describes it as "long non-coding RNA (BNAP_LNC020676)". The record is from RNAcentral. Lineage: Eukaryota; Viridiplantae; Streptophyta; Magnoliopsida; Brassicales; Brassicaceae.
UUUUGUAUAACACUAUCACAAACUCAUUAAGUUAGACUCUGUCUUAGUAAAUAGUAGUCACCCGGUACUAGUUAAACCAUUUCCAAUUGGAUAAUGUGGAGAGGUCGUCUCAAGUUCGAAUUUAGUAAUGAGGAGAAACUGUUAAUAUACAUAAAACAUGCAUUUGCCUACACUAUGAAGUGAUUAUUGACCUUAGUUGCAACAAUUAAACAAAUAAUUUUCUACAUAAUUAUAUGGAAAUCAAUUACAUAACUCAUAAACAUUUUAUUUAUAGUACUAAAACUCCAUAAAAUUAUUGCUUAUUUCUUAUAUUUUUAGUUUAGACCCUUAGAAAAUAUAAAGAAUAAUAUGUUGUAGAUCAACGGUGACUAUUUUUGUAAGAGUGGACUUUUCAAAUUGUAUUCCACAAAAAUGAAAGAUUGUUUGAAAAGAAAAUUGAAAAUCUUUUACCAAACAAGAGAGGAGUUUUUUUUUUCGAACAGAAGAAGUGAUUUGGAGAUCUUACGAAGUGAGGCCAGUUUAAAGUAUACUUUCGAUUUCGACCAACCACCAACUGGC